GUAUGAAUGGCCACACGAGGGCUUUACUGUCUCUUACUUCCAAUCCGUGAAAUUGACCUUCCCGUAAGAGGCGACAAAUAUGACAAUGAUACGAGCAGACCCUAUGGAGCUUUAAUUAACCGACCCAAAGAGAUCUUGAUAAUCAACCGACAGGGAUAACAUACCUCUACCAUGGGCCGACAAUUUAGGUUGGGGUGACCUCGGAGAAUAAAACAACCUCCGAGUGAUUUAAAUCUAGACUAACUAGUCGAAAGUACUACAUCACUUAUUGAUCCAAAAACUUGAUCAACGGAACAAGUUACCCUAGGGAUAACAGCGCAAUCCUAUUUUAGAGUCCAUAUCGACAAUAGGGUUUACGACCUCGAUGUUGGA
RNAcentral lists this ribosomal RNA (372 nucleotides) under Panthera onca (jaguar). RNAcentral describes it as "partial large subunit ribosomal RNA". It matches the Rfam family "Bacterial large subunit ribosomal RNA", at positions 1990 to 2536 of the family's 2925-position model. The record is from RNAcentral. Lineage: Eukaryota; Metazoa; Chordata; Mammalia; Carnivora; Felidae.